GACGAACGCUGGCGGCGUGCUUAACACAUGCAAGUCGAACGGAAAGGCCCUGCUUUUGUGGGGUGCUCGAGUGGCGAACGGGUGAGUAACACGUGAGUAACCUGCCCUUGACUUUGGGAUAACUUCAGGAAACUGGGGCUAAUACCGGAUAGGAGCUCCUGCUGCAUGGUGGGGGUUGGAAAGUUUCGGCGGUUGGGGAUGGACUCGCGGCUUAUCAGCUUGUUAGUGGGGUAGUGGCUUACCAAGGCUUUGACGGGUAGCCGGCCUGAGAGGGUGACCGGCCACAUUGGGACUGAGAUACGGCCCAGACUCCUACGGGAGGCAGCAGUGGGGAAUAUUGCACAAUGGGCGGAAGCCUGAUGCAGCAACGCCGCGUGCGGGAUGACGGCCUUCGGGUUGUAAACCUCUUUCGCCUGUGACGAAGCGUGAGUGACGGUAAUGGGUAAAGAAGCACCGGCUAACUACGUG
This 468-nucleotide ribosomal RNA is filed under the name uncultured bacterium. RNAcentral's name for it is "partial 16S ribosomal RNA". It matches the Rfam family "Bacterial small subunit ribosomal RNA", at positions 28 to 507 of the family's 1533-position model. The record is from RNAcentral.